This is a long non-coding RNA of Papaver somniferum (opium poppy), 2557 nucleotides long. RefSeq lists it as uncharacterized. Lineage: Eukaryota; Viridiplantae; Streptophyta; Magnoliopsida; Ranunculales; Papaveraceae. The transcript is spliced from 4 exons. The record is from RefSeq and is a predicted model, not a curated record.
CUGCCUCUUCCAUCACUUCUCUCUUUCUCACAGCCUCAGUUCUCUCUCAGUUUCCUAAUGAAACCCCUCUCUCACAUAUCGAAUUUCUAUCUCAAUCUCGGAAAUCGAAGAUUAUUCAUAAUCCCAUCUCAAAUUCAAUCGAACCUCAAUCUCACAAAUCGAAGCUUAUUCAUAACCGCAUCUCAAAAUCAAAACUCGUGAAUCAGCAGAAAUGAAAAGCAAACACUUUUUAUUGUAAUUCAAAAAUCUAGUUUGAUUAAUGGGAAGAAGAAGAUAUUGAACUAGAGAUCACUGAACUAAUUUUUAACUUUGAUUUAGUUUUUACUUGGGAUUGUCAUUAUUUGAUUAGAUUAGAUUUGAUUCGUAUUAUUUAAUUCGAUCUGAAGAUAUAGAUCCAUCAUCGACGACAUCAUGUACUCUUAUUGCUGCUAUUUCUGGUGGUGAUGAAGACCCAAGAAGAAGAUCUCCUCAUGUAUAAUUGCAAAUAUUGGCUUUAAAAGGGGUUGGAAACAAUCAGCAGAGGACAUCUCUGGACCAAGACAAUCCCUGCACUUUAGCUGCUUGAUAAAAGUUCAACGAGGAGCAUUUUAGAUCAUCUUAACUUUCCGUUCACCAUUAACACUUCAUUCACAUCAUCUAUACCGUAGGACAGAAGCUUCAUGGAUUAACCAAAUUCAUACUACUCAUUCCUGGAAAUUCCUAUUCCACAGUAUGACCAACUGACAGAAAUUGAAUCUAAAGAUGAUGUGAUCAUUGGCAUCCUAGAUUCUGGUAAAUAUGGAACUGAAUUGCCAGCUUAUUGGAUUGUAGCUUAUACUUCCCGAACUCAUCUUAAUAAUAUACGACUGUUAAUAUACUUAUUAGAUCUUGUGUAGAUUAUCUUGCAUACUGUUACUUGUCAUUUUGAGAUCAUGUGUGGAUUGUAAUCAUGUCCUGAAUGAAGUUGUUGGAAAAUAAUUUGGUUAAGUUCAUCUAGUGGCCUAGUAGUAGUGAUGAUUUGUGUGUUUUCUUAGAAUUUAUUAGGCUAAUUGUUUCAGUGAUUUCAAGUUUUAUUUAACAAUGUUUCACUUGAUUCACACAGGACUUGUCUGUGCUUCAUAGUAUGUCUGUUUAUCAUCACUUGUUUGGCUGUAAUUUCCAAAACCAGAGUUUCCAUUAAGGGAAUCCAGUCUUACAACUUACAAGUGUCAAGUGUAUUUCCAUCGUAUCAGUAAAAUAAGUGUUGGUGUCUGCCGUUAAAUCCAAUUUGACUGGCGAAAGUGAAACAAUUGAGAGGGACAUGCGUCUAAAGGUUUCUCUGUACAUUGCAUAGGCCCUACAGUAUUGUAGUACCAAAGGGAAUGAAUUGCAUGACCUGAAUGCUUUUUGGGUUUUCUUUGACGAGGUUUUGUUGCUACCUUACUGGUUCCGUUAUAUAUUUCUUGUGUGUUUUUUCUCUUGAGAUUGCUCUUAUAAUGUUUCUGGUACAUGACAAGGGAUAUCUUCAUACUUGAGAUGGAGUUUGAGCCGUUCUCCACUAGUGGGUCUGUUAUGUCAUGCGACUUGUUCCUACAUUAGUGGGUUUGUGGUGCAGACCAAUGAGAUCUUCAUACAUGAGCAGGAGUUUGAGCCAUUCUCUACUAGUGGGUCUGUUGUGCGGAUUAUGCCUACUCUUGGUUGCAUACUGGCGGUACAAAUUCUUGAAUCGAUAACAUGGAUUAUGCUUUUGUGAGCCUUUGGUAGAUGAUUGUUGUGUUUUCUUAUUGAAUUUAUUGCUUUGCUUUGCAUCAUUUACUCUCUGCAAAAACAUGUUGUCUCUGUGUGUGGACACUUCCAUUAUUUAAUCUCUCAUUUUUAUAAUCAUAUCUUGUCUGGCUUGUGCGUGUGUUUGGCUGGUAUGGUUUACUUGUUUAUGACUCGGAAGGUGUUCGAUCUGUGGUAUUAUAUUGGUAUGUCAUAUAGGCUACAAUUGUAUCCUUAUGUGACCAAACUGACCGUCUAGUUAAACUUGAUCAUGAUAACCUCCUGGUUGAAUCCCCAGGCAGUUGAUACCUUCUCACUUGAAUGUAUCACUCAUGUGUCUUUUGGGACAGGAUAUGGUACACGGUGUUGAUUUCAGAUCUGCUGUGCGGUACGGUAACUACUUCAUGCUUCACAACUUUAAGGUAUAACAAUAUGAGUGAUUCCUGUAAUGAAUUCUUUUUUUCUAUGUACAUGAAGAGCUGAACACAUGGUCCUCUUCAUGUUAUCAUAAAACAAGCUAAAACCAAGGAUUGCAGCCUGUCAUUCAGGUAUACUAUUUCGAUCAGUUGGCAGAGCAGUUCAUCUUUUUGCUGGUUUUAGUAUAUUUUCAUUAUUUGUAGGUUGGUUUCCACCUAUUGUAAGAAAAUACAUCUGUAAGAACUUAAAUUGGUGUGAAUUCAGUAGUUGUGCAGAGCUUUUUGGGGUUUUGACCUAAGUGUCAGCUCAAUUCACAUGUGAAUUCAAUUAAUGUGGUACAACAAAACUUGAAUUGAAUGGUGAAUGUUUUGAUUAGUGUAUGAAAUGAGUUUUUAAUUUGAAUUUGAAGAGUUUCUAA